CUCUGCCUUGAACACCACAACUUCUUGAUACAGCAUUUCAACUAUUGUGUACAUUGACUACAAACUGGUAUUUAUCAUCUUUGUGUCUGAAUAUUCUUCUAACUUUACAUUAUAGACUCUUUUAAUGCUCUGUACUUAACACAC
Molecule: long non-coding RNA, 144 nt
Organism: Octopus sinensis (East Asian common octopus)
Lineage: Eukaryota; Metazoa; Mollusca; Cephalopoda; Octopoda; Octopodidae
Exons: 3
Source: RefSeq, a predicted model, not a curated record